RNAcentral lists this long non-coding RNA (1242 nucleotides) under Phasianus colchicus (ring-necked pheasant). Its description in RNAcentral is "lncRNA (ENSPCLG00000003444.1)". The record is from RNAcentral. Lineage: Eukaryota; Metazoa; Chordata; Aves; Galliformes; Phasianidae.
GAAAAGUGUUCAACAGAAAGCAUUUAAAGGAACUCUCGAAUUCUCAGCCGUUAAAAGGUAUAUCAGAUGAGUUGCUCCAUUAAGGUUUGUUACUGAAAAGCAAAACUGGCAGGCUGUAUUUUUGCAAUUAUAGAAGAAUAAUAGCCAUGCAGCCAGAAAAAAAUGCAGUCCUAUACAUCUUGAUCAUAAAUAUGGAUGUACUUAUAAUGACCUAUUCUCAAAUGAACACUUAAAUCUAUUCCAUCACAGUUUGUUUAGCUGCACAUAAAAGACUUGUACACAGCACAAAUACAUCAUAACAUUGUAAAGUAUGUAACACUGCAACCUCUAGGAAGCUGUCAUCACUUUAAUUGCAUAUUUAGGAAAACAUUUUUCAAAGUGCCACAUUUUGCAAAGCACUUGCAAAUUCUGGAGCUCUGCAGUUUAUCCUGCAAGUUUUGCCAGUGUGGUUAGAUGAGCAUUUUAUGCUUCCUAGACAAAAUGAUGCAGACAAUGGUCCUUCUGUGACGAAGGAGGGAGGUCUUACUGAGCAGUGCUGAGUUUCUCUCCCCGCAGUCCCUCUGGAGGUAGAUGGACCAUAUCUGCUCUCCCUGAUUAAAAUGGAAGAUGUGUUAAGAACAUCUGCAGGCAGAUGGCAGUUAAGAGCCCAAACUAAUGUAUAUUAACAACUGUUUAAAUGCUGAUUUCUUCUGAUUCUGUGUUGACCUUACAACCACAAGAAAAUAGCCCCCAGCCAACGCAAUUGAGAAGACAAAGCCCAGCAGUGCCCAGCUAUUAAUGACCAGGACUCAGAGUGCCCAGGAAGAUGUCAUGGAGCAUCAGGUGCAACAUGCAUAUUCAUAUCUCCGCUCCUUUGUGUCUGACUGAACUGUUGGCCAGGAUUUACAAAAGCAAGGGAAGCUCUGUCACCACUGAAAAGGAUGUUAAUAUUUGGAAAGUUGCAAGAAUUAUCUUGUAUUUACUUUUCUCCUUUUUUUUCUUUGUCAUCUCUUCACUGUUGAAAACUGGUGCUCUGUGGUUCCACAACAAUUUGUACUUCUCUGAGUCUUCAAAUAAUCAGAAAUACCAGUAGACCUCUUAAUUCUGAACUCUAUUACCUAAGGGUGACAAAGGUUAUUCAAGAUUCAGAAGUUCAGGAAUUAUUUGUCAAUUUAAAAGUUGAAAAUCUGCCUUUCCUUCUUAAAAUUUUCUUAUAUGUGUUUUUCAAUCAAUGUCUGUUUCUUUUUCUGUUGGCCUCAUUAA